CGAAGGGCGGCCUCGUGCUGAUGCGAGGCUGCGAGCUCCUGGGCUCCUCGAAGCUGCUCCCUCGGGCUCCAGCUCGGCCACACGCUGCUGGGCCUGGCCCAGGUGUCCUUCAUCGGGGCCACCUUGUCCUGCAGUCGCUGGGCCCGAGCACCCUGUUCCUCCUGCCCGCCCUUUGCUUCUGCAGCUCCCAAGGUAAGCGAUGGGUUUCCGGUCGUGCCCGCUGGAGCUCAGCCUCACUGGCUCCUUGUGCUCGCACUUCUUUCAGCCGCCCCAGGAGCCUCUCUUGUUCCCGAGUUAGGGCCUUCACCGUGUCCCUCACCGUGUCCCUCACCCUGUCCAACUCCACCUCCCUAGUCAGCACUUUCUCACUGAUGGUCCGGAUGUCAUCUUCCAGCUCCAGGACGCGUGCCACAUGGCCUCCCUGUUGUCGGCUCAGGAUGUCCCUCUCUUCUACGAGGUCCCCGUGGGACCCGGCGAGCCCCUUGUACUGCUCCCUGAGCUCCGCGUGCUCCUCCUGGCAGUCGCCAGAGCCGCCUCGAGAGCCUGUACUUGAUUCCUCAGCUCCGUCACCUGUCCCUCCACAGCAGCUUCAGCUGCAUCAGGUCAUUCCUCUCUUGCUGGCUCUCAUCCAGCUGGUUCUGCAGCACAGUGGCCUUGGGGACAACCAGCAGGAUGUCAGCGUCACCAUCAGUCUCCUCCAGGGUCACCAGUUCAUCCAUGGGCCUUGGCUCUCGGAACUGCAAAGGGGGACUCUGCCCACACACCCAGCCCUGGCAGUUCACGUACCAGAAUUGGUAGAGCUGGGCUCUGGGUUUGGGCAGGUAGCUGGCUUGGAACUCGACGCUCGUGUGGACAGGGGAGCCGGCAGCUGCAUUUUCCGGCACUGAAGACCAGACAAACGUGUGGUAAUCCCGAACACAGGCAGCCUCCACCUUGAAGAUGUCAAUCCAGCCGCUGGCACUGGGCACGGUGCCCGGGGGAAGGGUCUAGUGACAUUCCAUCUGGGUGUUGGGAGGUAGGUCCAUGCUAUACUCAGAAAAUUGACUCCAUCUCCGGGAGGUGCCUGGCAGUAGGGAUGAUUCUUCCACCUGCCCUCAAGCUAUUUGCCCUCCCACACCCGGAUCAGCUGUUCAUUCACCUUCCCUAAACAGAAAAUUUCUUUAAAAAAAAAAAUAAGAAUGAUAUUUAUUUGGCUUUUUGGAAAUAUAAAUAACAAUAGAUGA
RNAcentral lists this long non-coding RNA (1223 nucleotides) under Vulpes vulpes (red fox). Its description in RNAcentral is "lncRNA (ENSVVUG00000018712.1)". The record is from RNAcentral. Lineage: Eukaryota; Metazoa; Chordata; Mammalia; Carnivora; Canidae.